UUCUUCUUCUUCUUCUUCUUCUUUGUAGUUUCAUUUGUAGCUGCUUCAUCUUUACUCUUCUUUUUCUUUUUCUUAGCUGUCCCAUCCUGCUCGUUUACGCCAUUUGUUUUCCCAUCUUCUUCAUCCGCCUCUUGCUCCUUCUUUCGUUUCUCUUUCUUCUUUUUCUUCUCCGAUUUACCAUCCUCCGAUGCAUCUCCAUUUGUAGCAGCAGCUGGAGCAUCUUCGGUUUUUGACUUCUUUUCCUUGCUUUUCUUUGCGGAAGCUUCUUCAGGUUCUACUUCUUCCAUUUCAGUAUCUGUAUAAGACACAGGGAUCGAUAAACAAUUAUAAAAACUAGGUAAAAUAAUCGAUAACAAUAUCAAAACAUCAGCCGCGAGGUGAAACCAAAUAACGAUGAAAGAAAAGACGUACAACUUUUUGUACCUUUGUUCUGAGUACUUUCAAUUGCAGAUUUCAUUACAUCGAUGUUUUUACGAGGUGCAACACCUUUGUCAUAGAAUUCAAGUCGUUCCUCCACUUGUUCCCGCAGUUUCUCCCCAAAAACAGUGGAACCCCUCUCUGAAAACAUGAGUUGAAUGAAAUAUUAUAGGUGAAAACAUACAGUGUACAGGGAAAGAAGAAUCACGAUUACCUGAAAAACAAUCUAUACGAGAUGCAAUGGAACACUUGUUUGCAAGAUAGCGUGCCAUUCGGCCCUUGUUCUUCGAAGAUGCUCGACCAAUGAAAGAGGAAUGGAAAAUUAGACCAUACUUGGGUGUAUUUCCGCGAGUUUUCAGUGCCCUGAAGCCAGUAAACAAUGAGUGAAAUCAAUCCAUAAAACCACAGAUGAGAAAAAAAUCAACAUAAAAAAUGCAAUAAUACACUUGGAUUAGUGCUCAAGAUCUUGAGCAAUACACAAAUCAAGCUUCCACUCAAAGAGGGCCUAAAUUUUAGCAAGAGGUCCGCGUCUCGAUACAUUUU
Molecule: long non-coding RNA, 960 nt
Filed under: Gossypium barbadense (sea-island cotton)
Lineage: Eukaryota; Viridiplantae; Streptophyta; Magnoliopsida; Malvales; Malvaceae
Description: long non-coding RNA (GBAR_LNC009856)
Source: RNAcentral